GGCGAACGGGUGAGUAACACGUGGGCAAUCUGCCCUGCACUCUGGGACAAGCCCUGGAAACGGGGUCUAAUACCGGAUACGACCCGGGGAGGCAUCUCCUCCGGGUGGAAAGCUCCGGCGGUGCAGGAUGAGCCCGCGGCCUAUCAGCUUGUUGGUGGGGUGAUGGCCUACCAAGGCGACGACGGGUAGCCGGCCUGAGAGGGCGACCGGCCACACUGGGACUGAGACACGGCCCAGACUCCUACGGGAGGCAGCAGUGGGGAAUAUUGCACAAUGGGCGAAAGCCUGAUGCAGCGACGCCGCGUGAGGGAUGACGGCCUUCGGGUUGUAAACCUCUUUCAGCAGGGAAGAAGCGCAAGUGACGGUACCUGCAGAAGAAGCACCGGCUAACUACGUGCCAGCAGCCGCGGUAAUACGUAGGGUGCGAGCGUUGUCCGGAAUUAUUGGGCGUAAAGAGCUCGUAGGCGGCUUGUCGCGUCGGAUGUGAAAGCCCGGGGCUUAACCCCGGGUCUGCAUUCGAUACGGGCAGGCUAGAGUUCGGUAGGGGAGAUCGGAAUUCCUGGUGUAGCGGUGAAAUGCGCAGAUAUCAGGAGGAACACCGGUGGCGAAGGCGGAUCUCUGGGCCGAUACUGACGCUGAGGAGCGAAAGCGUGGGGAGCGAACAGGAUUAGAUACCCUGG
This 680-nucleotide ribosomal RNA is filed under the name Streptomyces chungwhensis. RNAcentral describes it as "bacterial SSU rRNA". It matches the Rfam family "Bacterial small subunit ribosomal RNA", at positions 97 to 790 of the family's 1533-position model. The record is from RNAcentral. Lineage: Bacteria; Bacillati; Actinomycetota; Actinomycetes; Kitasatosporales; Streptomycetaceae.